AUCUCUCCUCAGCCUUUUGGCUAAGAUCAAGUGUAGUAUCUAUUCUUCAGCUGAUUCAAUACAUCCAUGCAAAAAUUAGUUCUGGAUUAUUUUUCAUAUGUAAUACCUCCA
Molecule: small nuclear RNA, 111 nt
Filed under: Fukomys damarensis (Damara mole-rat)
Lineage: Eukaryota; Metazoa; Chordata; Mammalia; Rodentia; Bathyergidae
Description: U2 spliceosomal RNA
Rfam family: U2 spliceosomal RNA
About the family: U2 is a small nuclear RNA (snRNA) component of the spliceosome (involved in pre-mRNA splicing).
Source: Rfam by way of RNAcentral